GGUAAAAUGGCCGAUAAUAGGCGAUAAAUUGUAAAUUUAUUUAUGAAUAUAAAUUCUUUUACCAAA
RNAcentral lists this transfer RNA (66 nucleotides) under Staphylinidae sp. BMNH 1274190. RNAcentral's name for it is "tRNA-Tyr". Lineage: Eukaryota; Metazoa; Arthropoda; Insecta; Coleoptera; Staphylinidae. The record is from RNAcentral.